AGAGUUUGAUCCUGGCUCAGGACGAACGCUGGCGGCGCGCCUAACACAUGCAAGUCGAACGAGAGAGAGGGAGCUUGCUUCCUCGAUCGAGUGGCGAACGGGUGAGUAACGCGUGAGGAACCUGCCUCAAAGAGGGGGACAACAGUUGGAAACGACUGCUAAUACCGCAUAAGCCCACGGCUCGGCAUCGAGCAGAGGGAAAAGGAGCAAUCCGCUUUGAGAUGGCCUCGCGUCCGAUUAGCUAGUUGGUGAGGUAACGGCCCACCAAGGCAACGAUCGGUAGCCGGACUGAGAGGUUGAACGGCCACAUUGGGACUGAGACACGGCCCAGACUCCUACGGGAGGCAGCAGUGGGGAAUAUUGCACAAUGGGGGAAACCCUGAUGCAGCGACGCCGCGUGGAGGAAGAAGGUCUUCGGAUUGUAAACUCCUGUUGUUGAGGAAGAUAAUGACGGUACUCAACAAGGAAGUGACGGCUAACUACGUGCCAGCAGCCGCGGUAAAACGUAGGUCACAAGCGUUGUCCGGAAUUACUGGGUGUAAAGGGAGCGCAGGCGGGCGAUCAAGUUGGAAGUGAAAUCCAUGGGCUCAACCCAUGAACUGCUUUCAAAACUGAUUGUCUUGAGUAGUGCAGAGGUAGGCGGAAUUCCCGGUGUAGCGGUGGAAUGCGUAGAUAUCGGGAGGAACACCAGUGGCGAAGGCGGCCUACUGGGCACCAACUGACGCUGAGGCUCGAAAGUGUGGGUAGCAAACAGGAUUAGAUACCCUGGUAGUCCACACCGUAAACGAUGAUUACUAGGUGUUGGAGGAUUGACCCCUUCAGUGCCGCAGUUAACACAAUAAGUAAUCCACCUGGGGAGUACGACCGCAAGGUUGAAACUCAAAGGAAUUGACGGGGGCCCGCACAAGCAGUGGAGUAUGUGGUUUAAUUCGACGCAACGCGAAGAACCUUACCAAGUCUUGACAUCCUGCGACGGACAUAGAAAUAUGUUUUUCCUUCGGGACGCAGAGACAGGUGGUGCAUGGUUGUCGUCAGCUCGUGUCGUGAGAUGUUGGGUUAAGUCCCGCAACGAGCGCAACCCUUAUGGUCAGUUACUACGCAAGAGGACUCUGGCCAGACUGCCGUUGACAAAACGGAGGAAGGUGGGGAUGACGUCAAAUCAUCAUGCCCUUUAUGACUUGGGCUACACACGUACUACAAU
Molecule: ribosomal RNA, 1201 nt
Filed under: metagenome
Description: bacterial SSU rRNA
Rfam family: Bacterial small subunit ribosomal RNA
Source: RNAcentral